Long non-coding RNA from Pygocentrus nattereri (red-bellied piranha), 1163 nucleotides. The record is from Ensembl. Lineage: Eukaryota; Metazoa; Chordata; Actinopteri; Characiformes; Serrasalmidae.
CCUUUGUGGUAUUUUAUACCUUGGGUCUAAGAUGUGGGCCAGUUGUUUAAAUCCCUCGUUCUCUACGACGCUGUGGGGCUGAAUAUCUUUGCAAAUAAAGUAGGCUAUGGCAUCGGUUAUGGCUUGGGAGCGAGCAGAGUCAGCUGUCGGGGGCGCGUUUUGCCUAAAUAAACUUGCGAUAGACCCGUCACCUCCUUUGCUACUGCUCAGUGUGGCUCAGUGUGGCUCGUGUUUCAGCAGGAUCCGAAGAAAACGAGGGGCUAGCGGCCGCAGAGAUGUCCACACCGGGCCGUCUUUCAUGUGUGUCGCCAGCUGUUGCACAAAAUGAGGAGUUGAUCUAUUCCACAGUGAGAUUCUCUACAGAUGUUGGCCCUAGCCACUCUGACCUGCAUAGACCAGAUAAACCUGCUGACCCCUCACCUGAGCCAAAGUCAAAGGCUGUGACAACUGGACAAGCUAAAGAGAGAAUACUGUGGAUUUCUCUCUGUGCUGUCCUUUUUGUUGUGGCCCUCAUCAUUGGAGUGCUCUUCAUCUAUGGCCAUGUUUCACAUAAAGAAACUGUUCAACGGCUCACAGGUUAGUGUCUGAAUGGAAAACAGUGUGAAAUUCUGAAAAUGGAAAAACAUUGCUUUAGGAGAACUUGAAAUGGUUAUUGUCACUGAUACAAGUGUCCAUAAAGACAACAGAGGAGGCAGUAAAUAGACUUUAUUUUAGUGUUUACUGGAGCACUAAACACCAUGAUGGUUGGGAUUACAUGUACUUACAGACAGGGAAUAAAACAUUGCUCAACACAAAUUAUCCCUGAAAAAUGUAAAUUUUUGAACACUGGCUUCCCAGUAGUCCACUCAGCUGCACCCCACUGCCAGGCCAGUGCUUUGACGCUGGCCAUCACCGUGACCGGAUUCCUAUCAAUCCAAUCCUCAUUGCUGGGCCUGGCCCUGUCCCCCCCUCUUGCCUCUUCACUGGGACAAGCCUGUUGUUAGGCUGACAAGUAAUGUAGUAAGUUAGCAUAACUGAAAGGUCCUCCCAAAAAUUCCAAUUAAGCUUGUAGAUUUUAGCAUGUGUUUCAUGUGUGAAAAAUAUGAAAGAUGUGGUAAAAAUAAACAUUACCCUUGGAAAGGGAAAAAUAGUUCUAUUAAACUGGACUAUACAUUAGCUUAGCU